GGAGGGCCUUUGGUAAAAAGGACCGGGGAGGGUCUAGGCGCACAGAGCAGUUCAUCAGGGACCAGGAGUACAAAGCACAGGGCUGGCCCUGGGGCCGUACUCACCGCGGCCGUUCUGGGUGCGCCGGUACACGCUGCCCACGCUGAGGCGGCCCUGCUGCGAGCCGCUGCGCUCCGCCACCGGCGGGGGCGCGUCCGAGCUGCGCACGGGCAGGUAUCUGACUGAGUGACCCUAUGGCCUUCUACAAAGACCAGGACUCUGAUGACCCCACCUCCCCGGGUACAGGAAGAAUUGGAAGAGCCAGAAGGUCUCGUGGUCAUGUUCCACCAUCAGCUGGAAGAGCAUCACCAUCUCAUGGAAGCCCUGCUGACCACAGGUCCUGACUUGCCUUCUGCUUUGGGUCAGUUCUAUGCAUUCAACACUCAAGGGUUCACCCUUGGCUGUGCUGGCAUGGCACAUGUGGCGUCCAACAUGGAAUGUGUGUAUGGGGGAACUACAAUUGUAAGGUGAAAGGAUGCUCCAGUGCAGAAAGCAGAAAGCAGAAAGUAAGAGCAAACAGAAUGUGGGGAUGGAGAGGAAGAAUAUAAACAAUACAUAUGGCUGAUGACACAGGUUCUAGAAAAAUUCCCUAGACAAAGAAGGAACAGUGGAGCCGAUUUGGGUUCCAGACCAUUAUGUGCAUCACCACAAUGGACCCAGAGAAGCUCCUUGGCCAUUCAUUCAAAAGAUUGAGAGUUGCCCCAUAACAGCAAUGUAGAAGAACAAAAUAAAGACUAUACAAGGGG
This is a long non-coding RNA of Pipistrellus kuhlii (Kuhl's pipistrelle), 785 nucleotides long. RefSeq lists it as uncharacterized. The record is from RefSeq and is a predicted model, not a curated record. The transcript has 7 exons. NCBI's taxonomy places the organism in Eukaryota, Metazoa, Chordata, Mammalia, Chiroptera, Vespertilionidae.